RNAcentral lists this ribosomal RNA (1317 nucleotides) under Arthrobacter sp. Its description in RNAcentral is "bacterial SSU rRNA". It matches the Rfam family "Bacterial small subunit ribosomal RNA", at positions 73 to 1380 of the family's 1533-position model. Lineage: Bacteria; Bacillati; Actinomycetota; Actinomycetes; Micrococcales; Micrococcaceae. The record is from RNAcentral.
GAUCCUGGCUCAGAAGUCGUAACAAGGUACCCGUAAAAGUGGCAAACGGGUGAGUAACACGUGAGUAAUCUGCCCUUAUCUCUGGGAUAAGCCUGGGAAACUGGCUCUAAUACCGGAUAUGACUCCUCAUCGCGUGGGGGGGGGGGGAAAGCUUUGUGGUGGUUUUGGAUGGACUCGCGGACUAUCUUGUUGUUGAGGAAGUAAUGCCUCACCGAGGCGACGACGGGUAGCCGGGCUGAGAGGGCGACCGGCCCCGCUGGUACUGAAACACGGCCAAUACUCCUACGGGAGGCAGCGGGGGGGAAUGUUGCACGAUGGGCGCCCGGCUGAUGCAACGACGCCGCRGGGAUGAYGRCCGUCUUCGGGUUGUAAACCUUCUUUCAGUAGGGAAGAAGMGAARAGUGACGGUACCUGCAGAAGAASCGCCGGGCUAACUACGUGCCAGCAGNCCGCGGUAAUACGUAGGGCGCAAGCGUUAUCCGGAAUUAUUGGGCGUAAAGAGCUCGUAGGCGGUUUGUCGCGUCUGCCGUGAAAGUCCGGGGCUCAACUCCGGAUCUGCGGUGGGUACGGGCAGACUAGAGUGAUGUAGGGGAGACUGGAAUUCCUGGUGUAGCGGUGAAAUGCGCAGAUAUCAGGAGGAACACCGAUGGCGAAGGCAGGUCUCUGGGCAUUAACUGACGCUGAGGAGCGAAAGCAUGGGGAGCGAACAGGAUUAGAUACCCUGGUAGUCCAUGCCGUAAACGUUGGGCACUAGGUGUGGGGGACAUUCCACGUUUUCCGCGCCGUAGCUAACGCAUUAAGUGCCCCGCCUGGGGAGUACGGCCGCAAGGCUAAAACUCAAAGGAAUUGACGGGGGCCCGCACAAGCGGCGGAGCAUGCGGAUUAAUUCGAUGCAACGCGAAGAACCUUACCAAGGCUUGACAUGAACCGGAAAGACCUGGAAACAGGUCCCCCACUUGUGGUCGGUUUACAGGUGGUGCAUGGUUGUCGUCAGCUCGUGUCGUGAGAUGUUGGGUUAAGUCCCGCAACGAGCGCAACCCUCGUUCCAUGUUGCCAGCGCGUUAUGGCGGGGACUCAUGGGAGACUGCCGGGGUCAACUCGGAGGAAGGUGGGGACGACGUCAAAUCAUCAUGCCCCUUAUGUCUUGGGCUUCACGCAUGCUACAAUGGCCGGUACAAAGGGUUGCGAUACUGUGAGGUGGAGCUAAUCCCAAAAAGCCGGUCUCAGUUCGGAUUGGGGUCUGCAACUCGACCCCAUGAAGUCGGAGUCGCUAGUAAUCGCAGAUCAGCAACGCUGCGGUGAAUACGUUCCCGGGCU